This 90-nucleotide ribosomal RNA is filed under the name Cladocopium sp. clade C. RNAcentral's name for it is "partial 5.8S ribosomal RNA". It matches the Rfam family "5.8S ribosomal RNA", at positions 67 to 154 of the family's 154-position model. Rfam says of the family: 5.8S ribosomal RNA (5.8S rRNA) is a component of the large subunit of the eukaryotic ribosome. Lineage: Eukaryota; Dinophyceae; Suessiales; Symbiodiniaceae. The record is from RNAcentral.
GUGAAUUGCAGAACUCCGUGAACCAAUGGCCUCCUGAACGUGCGUCGCACUCUUAGCUUUCCUGAGAGUAUGUCUGCUUCAGUGCUUACC